Molecule: transfer RNA, 64 nt
Filed under: Psylliodes chalcomera
Lineage: Eukaryota; Metazoa; Arthropoda; Insecta; Coleoptera; Chrysomelidae
Description: tRNA-Trp
Source: RNAcentral
AAGGAUUUAAGUUAAAUAAACUUUUAACCUUCAAAGUUAAAUAUAGACAUUGUCUAAGCCUUAA